GAUGAACGCUGACAGAAUGCUUAACACAUGCAAGUCAACUGUGGCGGACGGGUGAGUAACGCGUAAAGAACUUGCCUCACAGAUAGGGACAACAUUUGGAAACGAAUGCUAAUACCUGAUACUGUGAGAGAGCUUUGCGUCCCAUUAGCUAGUUGGAGAGGUAACGGCUCACCAAGGCGAGGAUGGGUAGCCUGACUGAGAGGGUGAUCGGCCACAAGGGGACUGAGACACGGCACUGACUCAUACGGGAUGCAGAAGUGGGGAAUAGUGGACAAUGGACCAAAGUCUGAUCCAGAACUUCUGUGUGCAAGAUGAAGUUUUCGGAAUGUAAAGUGCUUUAAGCUGGGAAGCAGUACCAACAGAAGAAGUGGCGGCUAAAUACGUGCCAGCAGCCGCGGUAAUAC
This 404-nucleotide ribosomal RNA is filed under the name uncultured bacterium. Its description in RNAcentral is "partial 16S ribosomal RNA". It matches the Rfam family "Bacterial small subunit ribosomal RNA", at positions 28 to 526 of the family's 1533-position model. The record is from RNAcentral.